GUUGUUCUGACAUCGUGAAAUCAGGCGAAAAGGGCGAAAUAAAUUAUAGCUAAUUUAUACUUAUAUUCCUGUGAUUUCAAUUACCAAAUUGAACUUCGUAUCAUAUAUGCAAACUGUCAGUUAUUCCAACAAGUUGACUUAGCGCGCUCAGUCGAUUUCCAUCCAUUAGGCCCAUCAUGCUGUCAAAAGCCUAAUAAAACUCAUGUUUGAAGUACACAUAAAUCGACAUUUAUUGGAAUACAAAUGUGCCGAGAUAAGGAUCUUUUCUGAAUCUCGCCUUUUUUGGUGGCGUACCCUGCAACAGCAUGUUUAUUGUUAUGGCUGAUUUUACUUCUGAUUAGAAGGCAACUCUACAAACUCAAAGCGAAGGCGGCAAACUAAGAGAUAGAGUUUCAGAGACAUGAAGAGUGAAGUGACCUGCCAUGUAUGUACCAGAUCUCCUUUAUGAAAGUCAAAUGCCUUAUUAAAUUCAUCACCCAUAUGAUAAAGCAUCAGGAAAUUUAUCUCAACAUGUGAAGUAAUGCUGUCGGUUGCUGUGAAUUCCAUUUUUACGGUUUUUUCAUCAUAAACAUUUCAGUGUGCUUCUUAGAAAAGAGCACGCAGUUUCUUUAUGGAAUCGUGUGGUCCUGGCACGGAGAUUCUUGAGCCAACGCUGACCUUUGUCCAUGACGGAAGAGGGACUUCCACCAACGUUCUUCUCCAUCCUUAUCUUCGCGACCCUCAUCUAGCUUCAAUAACAAAACUAAACACAAUUUGUUUUACUUCAC
This is a long non-coding RNA of Daphnia pulicaria, 767 nucleotides long. RefSeq lists it as uncharacterized. The transcript is spliced from 6 exons. The record is from RefSeq and is a predicted model, not a curated record. Lineage: Eukaryota; Metazoa; Arthropoda; Branchiopoda; Diplostraca; Daphniidae.